UAAUGGGCCUAAGUCAUGAGCUCG
RNAcentral lists this non-coding RNA (24 nucleotides) under Arabidopsis thaliana (thale cress). The record is from RNAcentral. Lineage: Eukaryota; Viridiplantae; Streptophyta; Magnoliopsida; Brassicales; Brassicaceae.